GGAGAGAUGCCGGAGUGGUCGAUCGGGGCGGUCUCGAAAACCGUUGUUCACGUAAGUGAACCCAGGGUUCGAAUCCCUGUCUCUCCG
Molecule: transfer RNA, 87 nt
Filed under: Bacteroidales bacterium
Lineage: Bacteria; Pseudomonadati; Bacteroidota; Bacteroidia; Bacteroidales
Description: tRNA-Ser
Rfam family: tRNA
About the family: Transfer RNA (tRNA) molecules are approximately 80 nucleotides in length. Their secondary structure includes four short double-helical elements and three loops (D, anti-codon, and T loops).
Source: RNAcentral